Homo sapiens (human) is the source of this 2050-nucleotide long non-coding RNA. RefSeq lists it as uncharacterized. The transcript is spliced from 3 exons. The record is from RefSeq and is a predicted model, not a curated record. NCBI's taxonomy places the organism in Eukaryota, Metazoa, Chordata, Mammalia, Primates, Hominidae.
UCUAGUGGCAAGAGGGAACUGCCAAGGGAAAUCUGAGAGGAGGUGUUUACCCUGCGUAAACACCUUGCUGUUUAGCUUGGCAUCCCUAGAAGCAGACCCUGAGGACAGUGGGAAAAUGGAUUAUUAAGGAAGUGCUCCUGAGAGAAACCAGAAAGGGGGUGUAGGGAGCAAGGGAGGAUAAGGAGAAGACUCCAGUAAGGAUGAGAUUACUCAAGUCCCAUGGAAGACAGGUUAGCCUGAUCCUGCAGGGGAGCCCUGGAGGACUUAACAUCUCUGGAAAGCCAGAAAUCAGAGAUACAGAGAAGUAUUGAAAUGCUGAAAUGCUAUGAAUUUACUAUAAGAGAACAUUCUUCACUGAAGAGAUCUCUAGCUGCCAAAACACCCUUUCAUGCGUGAAAUACCGGGGCAAAGAGGAAGGAAAAGAGAAGAGUAUGACUCUAGGAACCAUGUUGCAGAAAUGCCAAAGGGUGGGACAAACAAAGUUACUAAUGUGGAGAAAGAAGAUUAUCAUGUGUGGAACGAAGGACAAUAUGAACAUUAAAUAAUGCCCUGACUCAUUCCAAAAAGAAUCUGAGAUGACCAAUAAAGCCAUUUUUAAUUGUUUAUUAGUGAACAAUAGAUUAUGAGUGCUAAAGGGAUUCAGGAAGAAGAAAGAUCAGUGCAGAGUAGAGAAGUCUGAUGGAUGCAUUGAAGAAGCUAUGCUUGAGCUGAAAUGACAAGAGAGCUGUUUUUCGCUUUCAGAAUUAUUAUGUGGCAAUGGUAAUUGACAACAGAGAAGCUGAAGGUAUGAGGACAAGGGUGUCUUAUCUUUCCCCAGAAGUCUUGCUUGGCCCAUGGGAGAAUACAGGCCUGCACCUUGGACUUGGAGUCAGUAGAUUCCUUCCUGUGAUUUUUUACAAGCUCAAACAUCCCCUGACUGAGUCAUUCACCAGAGAAAGAGGCUUUUCAAAUGAUUUGUGCAUUAGCUAUAGUCUGCCUUAUUCAACCCCAUUUUAGUGUCACAAAAGCUUCUUCUUCCUACAUUGUUAGAGCCUUUUUGACUUUUCUGAAACGACAUCUGCUCACCUCUUGGGUAACACCCUGCAGGGCUCAGUCGAGCUCAGUCACCCUUCACUUUUUUUUUUUUUUUUUUGAGCCAGUUUUGUAAGGUGCUGAGGGAGGUUUGUAUUAGUCCUUGUUGCCCCUAGAAGAAAUAACAGCUAUAAUUUUGGCCCCGAAGAAAAGGAACAGGUAUGACUAUUCUCUCUCUUUCUCUCAAACCACAAUCUACUCUAGGGAGGAAGUCACUUUAUGGGAGCAGAGUCACUCUCAAGUAAUAGCUGGCCAUACAGAUUGCUCUGGACCAAGGGUGAAUGUGAAGAAGAAAAGACCGGCCAGCAACACAAUGGAAUAUCUAGAGUCAUAUUGAGGGAAAUACUUAGAUUGCUGAUUUCUUAGUGGAUUUCACAAGCAGAGCUGCUUGUGAGCAGAAUGGUGAAGUAGGGGCAUGUGUUUCUGGGGUCUUAUUCCAUGGCUUCCUUCCACCUACAAGAGUCAUCCUCACGGAGUACUUGCAUUUCAGUAGAAGAAAAAAAUCUUAUAGAUGGAAGGGAAGGAUGGGGUUCCUGCUUUAGGAAGAUUGGCAUGGUCAUAAGUCUGAGCAAGGAAGGGCCCAGGGCAGCUCAGAGCUCUGAGCAGGAAGCUCUAAUUAGUUACUGAAUAUGGUGCAAGCACAAAGAGAGCGUAGUGUUUUCCCUUUCCAUCUGUGGAAGUCUUGGCCAUGCUUACUUGGGCGUUCCUUCCAGGAAACAUUUAUUUUUCCUCUUUAAUGCCCUCCUCAUAUCUAUGCUCUCAGUAGAGGAUGCCACUGCUUCUGGCACCUGGAUAAUAGAAUGAAGCUGAUUGGGAUGGAAACAGAAAAGUCAUCUCUCAGAACAAUGAGCAGAGACUGAAACUCCCUUGUACCCAGUCCCUGUGCACUGCUGUUCAUAGCCAAAUGGGCAAGGCCUUGCCAAAUGUCAUGUUGAGGUGAGGCCCUAAGUGAUAGAAAAAUAAAAAAUGACUAUGGCCA